GAUGAACGCUGGCGGCGUGCCUAAUACAUGCAAGUCGAGCGAACGGACGAGAAGCUUGCUUCUCUGAUGUAGCGGCGGACGGGUGAGUAACACGUGGAUAACCUACCUAUAAGACUGGGAUAACUUCGGGAAACCGGAGCUAAUACCGGAUGAUAUUUUGAACCGCAUGGUUCAAAAGUGAAAGACGGUCUUGCUGUCACUUAUAGAUGGAUCCGCGCUGCAUUAGCUAGUUGGUAAGGUAACGGCUUACCAAGGCAACGAUGCAUAGCCGACCUGAGAGGGUGAUCGGCCACACUGGAACUGAGACACGGUCCAGACUCCUACGGGAGGCAGCAGUAGGGAAUCUUCCGCAAUGGGCGAAAGCCUGACGGAGCAACGCCGCGUGAGUGAUGAAGGUCUUCGGAUCGUAAAACUCUGUUAUUAGGGAAGAACAUAUGUGUAAGUAACUGUGCACAUCUUGACGGUACCUAAUCAGAAAGCCACGGCUAACUACGUG
RNAcentral lists this ribosomal RNA (496 nucleotides) under uncultured bacterium. Its description in RNAcentral is "partial 16S ribosomal RNA". It matches the Rfam family "Bacterial small subunit ribosomal RNA", at positions 28 to 507 of the family's 1533-position model. The record is from RNAcentral.